RNAcentral lists this ribosomal RNA (2172 nucleotides) under Pantoea dispersa. RNAcentral describes it as "partial 23S ribosomal RNA". It matches the Rfam family "Bacterial large subunit ribosomal RNA", at positions 670 to 2821 of the family's 2925-position model. The record is from RNAcentral. Lineage: Bacteria; Pseudomonadati; Pseudomonadota; Gammaproteobacteria; Enterobacterales; Erwiniaceae.
AGGGAAACCGAGUCUUAAUUGGGCGUUAAGUUGCAGGGUAUAGACCCGAAACCCGGUGAUCUAGCCAUGGGCAGGUUGAAGGUUGGGUAACACUAACUGGAGGACCGAACCGACUAAUGUUGAAAAAUUAGCGGAUGACUUGUGGCUGGGGGUGAAAGGCCAAUCAAACCGGGAGAUAGCUGGUUCUCCCCGAAAGCUAUUUAGGUAGCGCCUCGUGAACUCAUCUCCGGGGGUAGAGCACUGUUUCGGCUAGGGGGCCAUCCCGGCUUACCAACCCGAUGCAAACUGCGAAUACCGGAGAAUGUUAUCACGGGAGACACACGGCGGGUGCUAACGUCCGUCGUGAAGAGGGAAACAACCCAGACCGCCAGCUAAGGUCCCAAAGUCAUGGUUAAGUGGGAAACGAUGUGGGAAGGCACAGACAGCCAGGAUGUUGGCUUAGAAGCAGCCAUCAUUUAAAGAAAGCGUAAUAGCUCACUGGUCGAGUCGGCCUGCGCGGAAGAUGUAACGGGGCUAAACCAUGCACCGAAGCUGCGGCAGCGACACUAUGUGUUGUUGGGUAGGGGAGCGUUCUGUAAGCCGCUGAAGGUGUGCUGUGAGGCAUGCUGGAGGUAUCAGAAGUGCGAAUGCUGACAUAAGUAACGAUAAAGCGGGUGAAAAGCCCGCUCGCCGGAAGACCAAGGGUUCCUGUCCAACGUUAAUCGGGGCAGGGUGAGUCGACCCCUAAGGCGAGGCUGAAAAGCGUAGUCGAUGGGAAACAGGUUAAUAUUCCUGUACUUGGUGUUACUGCGAAGGGGGGACGGAGAAGGCUAGGUUAUCCGGGCGACGGUUGUCCCGGUUUAAGCGUGCAGGUGUGAAGACCAGGCAAAUCCGGUCUUCUUUAACACUGAGGCGUGACGACGAGCCGCCACGGCGGUGAAGUAACUGAUGCCCUGCUUCCAGGAAAAGCCUCUAAGCUCCAGGUAACACGAAAUCGUACCCCAAACCGACACAGGUGGUCAGGUAGAGAAUACCAAGGCGCUUGAGAGAACUCGGGUGAAGGAACUAGGCAAAAUGGUGCCGUAACUUCGGGAGAAGGCACGCUGGCGCGUAGGUGAAGGGACUUGCUCCCGGAGCCGAGGCCAGUCGAAGAUACCAGCUGGCUGCAACUGUUUAUUAAAAACACAGCACUGUGCAAACACGAAAGUGGACGUAUACGGUGUGACGCCUGCCCGGUGCCGGAAGGUUAAUUGAUGGGGUUAUCCGCAAGGAGAAGCUCUUGAUCGAAGCCCCGGUAAACGGCGGCCGUAACUAUAACGGUCCUAAGGUAGCGAAAUUCCUUGUCGGGUAAGUUCCGACCUGCACGAAUGGCGUAAUGAUGGCCAGGCUGUCUCCACCCGAGACUCAGUGAAAUUGAAAUCGCUGUGAAGAUGCAGUGUACCCGCGGCAAGACGGAAAGACCCCGUGAACCUUUACUAUAGCUUGACACUGAACAUUGAGCCUUGAUGUGUAGGAUAGGUGGGAGGCUUUGAAGCGUGGACGCCAGUCUGCGUGGAGCCAACCUUGAAAUACCACCCUUUAAUGUUUGAUGUUCUAACGUAGGCCCGUGAUCCGGGCUGCGGACAGUGUCUGGUGGGUAGUUUGACUGGGGCGGUCUCCUCCCAAAGCGUAACGGAGGAGCACGAAGGUUGGCUAAUCCUGGUCGGACAUCAGGAGGUUAGUGCAAUGGCAUAAGCCAGCUUGACUGCGAGAGUGACGGCUCGAGCAGGUGCGAAAGCAGGUCAUAGUGAUCCGGUGGUUCUGAAUGGAAGGGCCAUCGCUCAACGGAUAAAAGGUACUCCGGGGAUAACAGGCUGAUACCGCCCAAGAGUUCAUAUCGACGGCGGUGUUUGGCACCUCGAUGUCGGCUCAUCACAUCCUGGGGCUGAAGUAGGUCCCAAGGGUACGGCUGUUCGCCGUUUAAAGUGGUACGCGAGCUGGGUUUAGAACGUCGUGAGACAGUUCGGUCCCUAUCUGCCGUGGGCGCUGGAGAAUUGAGGGGGGUUGCUCCUAGUACGAGAGGACCGGAGUGAACGCACCGCUGGUGUUCGGGUUGUCAUGCCAAUGGCACUGCCCGGUAGCUAAGUGCGGAAGAGAUAAGUGCUGAAAGCAUCUAAGCACGAAACUUGCCCCGAGAUGAGUUCUCCCUGACCC